Molecule: ribosomal RNA, 259 nt
Filed under: uncultured bacterium
Lineage: Bacteria
Description: partial 16S ribosomal RNA
Source: RNAcentral
CUGCUGCCUUCCGUAGGAGUUUGGGCCGUGUCUCAGUCCCAAUGUGGCCGUUCACCCUCUCAGGCCGGCUACUGAUCGUUGCCUUGGUAGGCCAUUACCCCACCAACUAGCUAAUCAGACGCGGAACCAUCGUAUACCACCAGAGUUUUUCACACCGCUUCAUGCGAAGCUGUGCGCUUAUGCGGUAUUAGCACCUAUUUCUAAGUGUUACUCCCCCAGUAUACGGCAGGUUUUCCACGCGUUACUCACCCGUCCGCCA